Nerophis ophidion (straightnose pipefish) is the source of this 1763-nucleotide long non-coding RNA. RefSeq lists it as uncharacterized. Lineage: Eukaryota; Metazoa; Chordata; Actinopteri; Syngnathiformes; Syngnathidae. The record is from RefSeq and is a predicted model, not a curated record. The transcript is spliced from 2 exons.
UUUGUUUUUUUGUAUGUGCCACUAAUCACUUCCUAUAAUGUUUACCGUAUUUCCUUAAAACCUUUUUCUCACGCCUGCGUUUACCAAAGGCAUGCGGUAAAAGUAAGCAUGCGCUAAUUUUUUUUAAAACCUCUUUGGGCGGCAUGGCGUAGUGCAGGGGUGCCCAUUACGUCGACCGCGGGGGGGUGUGUCAGUCCAUCUCCAGCCAGGCUUUUUUUUAAAAAAUAGACCUAAAAAUGAGUGAUCAUCAAUCUUCACCAAGACGUCACUUAAAUGACAUUCACGGUACCGGAGGGUCUUGUGAGAUGACGCUGGCUGCUGCAAGAUCAUUAUUAUGAAAAUAUGACCGAGAGGAAGGCGAGAAGGCGCCGUACCUUCCGUCAAAACUCUAAAGGCCGACUGCACAUUUCCUAUCUUCACAAUAAAAGCCCUGCUUCAUGCUGCCUGCGCUAACUAAAUACAGAGUCUGUCUAUCUGUGUUGGCCCUGCGAUGAGGUGGCGACUUGUCCAGGGUGUACCCCGCCUUCCGCCCGGUUGUAGCUGAGAUAGGCGCCAGCGACCCAAAAGGGAAUACGUGGUAGAAAAUGGAUGGAUGGAUGGAUGGCGUCGCUCCCGGCACGCGCCGCCUCUCCACUCAUCCUCAUUCUCCGCCUCCUUGCCGCCAUCUUGGGCAAGGCCGCAGCGUGCUCUGCCCCGCCUCCGGCCCGUCGGCUCCGCCUCCCCACAAUGGCUUUCAAUGCAGUAUUUAUUUUACAUUUUUUUAAUUGAAAUCCAAUUUGCAAGGAAGACUUAAAACAUUGAAAACCUAUUCAUAAAAUCCCAGUGUUGUUGAAAGAAAUAAUCAAUCAAUCAAUGUUUAUUUAUAUAGCCCCAAAUCACAAAUGUCUCAAAGGACUGCACAAACCAUUACGACUACAACAUCCUCGGAAGAACCCACAAAAGGGCAAGGAAAACUCACACCCAGUGGGCAGGGAGAAUUCACAUCCAGUGGGACGCCAGUGACAAUGCUGACUAUGAGAAACCUUGGAGAGGACCUCAGAUGUGGGCAACCCCCCCCCCUCUAGGGGACCGAAAGCAAUGGAUGUCGAGCGGGUCUAACAUGAUACUGUGAAAGUUCAAUCCAUAGUGGCUCCAACACAGCCGCUAUUAAUCUUCAAAACAUUGCAACUUUAAGCACAACUUUCUAAAAAAUAAAAAUAAAAAGUCAAAAGAUUUCCUUUGUCCACAUCUGUGUACAAUUCACACCAUUUCAUAUCCCAAUAUCCUUUGCGCACUGAGCUCUGAAAAUUAUUUUUCAACCUGGCGGAGCGGAAAUAAUGACUUUAAAAUGGAAGUAUAGCUUAAUGCAGGGGUAGGGAACCUAUGGCUCUAGAGCAGGGGUCGGGAACCUUUUUGACUGAAAGAGCCAAGAAGCCAAAUAUUUUAGAAUGUAUUUACUUAAGAGCCAUAUGAUAUUUUUUUUUAACCCUGAACACAACUAAACGCGUGCAUUUUUAAGUAAGACCAACAUUUCCAGAGUAUAAUAGGUCUCUUAUUCUUUGUAAUAACAUUGUUAUUCUGAAGCAAACUGUGGAGGGGGCGUGGCCUGCGGGCCUGCAGCGAAGCUGGGUGUUGCCAGGAUCGGCCUUGAAAUCAGUGACAGCAGCCAGGAGGAGAGACAGGGUUGGGGCUGGAGCCAGAGCGAGAAUGAAAGCGAAAAAGACAAUUGCUGGAAAGCAACUGAGAGACUAAUUGAAAAAUAAAACAAUAUUGUAACCCUGAAA